AAUAUUUUUAAACCUAUCUUUCUCUCUCGGUCACAGCUCCUUCAUCUCAAACUCAUCAGAAGAAGGCGGAGGAGGUAAUCGAGCUCGGACACAUGUGGGUGAUUAGCUGGGUGAUCAACGAGGGAAGAUUUUCAGAGACGACUUCCGAGCACAGACUUCAAAAGCAAGUAGAUAGGCUUUAAUUGUCAUUCAAGCUAGAUGGCCGAACUUCCUCUACGCAUGUUCUGUUUUCCUCUCAAGCUCGGUUCAACUUCACUGGUCUUGGUGGCCCCUUUCUCAAAAUAGUGCAACAUCAAAGUGGUUUACAACAAGUAAUGGCUGUUGGAUGUUGAUGCAAUCAUAACUUAGGAAGGUGUUCCAAUUGUAAACCAAUUUACUAUUGUUUCCUGAGAGGUCAAUGGCUUCAGGUAGCUGCUAAGACAAGUAUAACUCCUGGUGUCCCACCAUCAUUGAAUCCUCCUCCUUGGACAUGGUUUGUGCAUUAGGCAGUGUAUUUAUUAGCGCUUGAGAAGAAAUUAGUUCAUCCCCUACUACACAAGUCCUUCUCUGAAGAUAAGCUGCAAGUCAAAUGCAUCUAGCAGAAAGCAGAGGCGAAUCAUGAUUUCAACAACUUAAAUUGAAGGUGCGCGACUCCCAGGGUAUUGGGAUCCCUAUACCUUCGUAUAGCUAUUGUUGUUUGGAUGAACUUCAGGAAAAGAGCGGCUGCAAGUGUUUAUAUUGAUUUUAGAAAGGGAAAUUCACAAAGUGAUGCUGAAACUACGGCAACUGCGAUAGAGAUGGAGUACUUGGAGAUAUUUAAGUAGGUGGGCAAAAACUUUGAUAAAUCAUAUAAGAGAUCUACCUAAUUGGACUGGCAAGAUUAGGUGAUAAUUUUAGUAAAUUGAAUUCCGUAUUAAUGUUUUGGAUGUUUAUCCAUUUUUGUGUAUGUGAGUUUGGGAUGUCAAUGUAAACCUGAAUCCAUAUUUUAAAUAAAAUUAAGGUAUUUUCACUUUCA
Long non-coding RNA from Papaver somniferum (opium poppy), 994 nucleotides. RefSeq lists it as uncharacterized. The transcript is spliced from 6 exons. NCBI's taxonomy places the organism in Eukaryota, Viridiplantae, Streptophyta, Magnoliopsida, Ranunculales, Papaveraceae. The record is from RefSeq and is a predicted model, not a curated record.